Long non-coding RNA from Mytilus californianus (California mussel), 671 nucleotides. RefSeq lists it as uncharacterized. The record is from RefSeq and is a predicted model, not a curated record. Lineage: Eukaryota; Metazoa; Mollusca; Bivalvia; Mytilida; Mytilidae. The transcript has 3 exons.
AAAUAAGUUGAUGAUGAUCUUCUUCUGUAUGUAACAGUAAAAUAUUUUUUUGGUUGAUUGCCACGAGAUUAUUUUUCACCGUUAAAUGACAGAACAAUAGCGUGUUGUGUGUAACGUUUUUGACAUGCCUGAGUAAUUACGGAUGUUUUAGAAUAUACUACACGUGUAAGUAUUGUUGACAAUUCUACAGGUAGAUAUAUGUCUGACGCUGCACAGGUUACAGAUGGAGAGGAUUGUUUGGUUAUAGAGAUCCUGGAUUAAAAAUUGACAUGCUUAUUAUGCAAAAUGGAUUAUGUUAAGUCAGCGCUACAGAUACUUCUGCUUGGGUUUUUCUUCUUUGCCUUACUGUGGAUUUGUGUACACGCAGACAAAUUAUUACUAAUAUUUAAGAGUUUAUAGUACAGUCAUUUUGGUGGACCAAGAGUGUUCUAAAACAAUUUUCGUUAGCAAUGUAAACAUUACAAUUAAUAUCUUAAUAUGCAUAUGGAUAUAUCAUUGCAUCGAUACUGUCCAUCAUUUUAGAAUCUUUCUAGCUCUUGGAUACAUGUGUAUUGGCAGAUUCACAUGUGACUUAUUACAUUCAUGCCUACCGGUAUAUCAGAUGUUGUAUUUAAUAUGUCUAACAUGUAUGAAACGAAUGAAAACUUAGUUUAUUAAAUGUUUAUGUUUUU